UACGAAGGGGGCUAGCGUUGUUCGGAAUUACUGGGCGUAAAGGGCGCGUAGGCGGCGCAACAAGUCACUUGUGAAAUCUCCGGGCUUAACCCGGAGCGGCCAAGUGAUACUGUCGUGCUAGAGUGCGGAAGGGGCUACUGGAAUUCUCGGUGUAGCGGUGAAAUGCGUAGAUAUCGAGAGGAACACCUGCGGCGAAGGCGGGUAGCUGGGCCGACACUGACGCUGAGGCACGAAAGCUAGGGGAGCAAACAGG
Molecule: ribosomal RNA, 253 nt
Filed under: uncultured bacterium
Lineage: Bacteria
Description: partial 16S ribosomal RNA
Rfam family: Bacterial small subunit ribosomal RNA
Source: RNAcentral